GUGAGGAAUUUUCCGCAAUGGGCGAAAGCCUGACGGAGCAAUGCCGCGUGAAGGAUGAAGGCCUAUGGGUUGUAAACUUCUUUUCUCAGAAAAGAAUUAUGACGGUAUCUGAGGAAUAAGCAUCGGCUAACUCUGUGCCAGCAGCCGCGGUAAGACAGAGGAUGCAAGCGUUAUCCGGAAUGAUUGGGCGUAAAGCGUCUGUAGGUUGUUUAAAAAGUAUUCUGUCAAAGAUUAGGGCUUAACCCUAGAUAGGCAGAAUAAACUUUUAAGCUAGAGUUUGGUAGAGGCGGAGGGAAUUCCCGGUGGAGCGGUGAAAUGCGUAGAUAUCGGGAGGAACACCAAAGGCGAAGGCACUCUGCUGGGCCAAUACUAACACUGAGAGACGAAAGCGAGGGGAGCAAAUGGGAUUAGAAACCCUUGUAGUCC
RNAcentral lists this ribosomal RNA (426 nucleotides) under uncultured bacterium. Its description in RNAcentral is "bacterial SSU rRNA". It matches the Rfam family "Bacterial small subunit ribosomal RNA", at positions 354 to 796 of the family's 1533-position model. The record is from RNAcentral.